RNAcentral lists this ribosomal RNA (338 nucleotides) under uncultured bacterium. Its description in RNAcentral is "bacterial SSU rRNA". It matches the Rfam family "Bacterial small subunit ribosomal RNA", at positions 71 to 422 of the family's 1533-position model. The record is from RNAcentral.
AAGUGGUAGCAAUACCAUGAGUAAAGUGGCGCACGGGUGAGUAACACGUGACUAACCUACCCUCGAGUGGGGGAUAACUUCGGGAAACCGAGGCUAAUACCGCAUAACAUCUACGGAUCAAAUGCGUUAGCAGCUUGAGGAGGGGGUCGCGGCUGAUUAGCUAGUUGGCGGGGUAAUGGCCCACCAAGGCAAUGAUCAGUAGCCGGCCUGAGAGGGCGCACGGCCACACUGGAACUGAAACACGGUCCAGACUCCUACGGGAGGCAGCAGUGGGGAAUUUUGCGCAAUGGGGGAAACCCUGACGCAGCAACGCCGCGUGGAGGAUGAAGCCCCUUGGG